Entomophthora muscae is the source of this 87-nucleotide non-coding RNA. The record is from the annotation of a GenBank genome assembly. NCBI's taxonomy places the organism in Eukaryota, Fungi, Entomophthoromycota, Entomophthoromycetes, Entomophthorales, Entomophthoraceae.
AAAAAAAUGGCUGAGCGGUUAAGGUGUGAGCCUAGAAAGCUUAUGGGGGUUCCCCGCCCAGGUUCAAAUCCUGCAGGUGUGGUUUUA